This is a non-coding RNA of Mycena polygramma, 89 nucleotides long. The record is from the annotation of a GenBank genome assembly. NCBI's taxonomy places the organism in Eukaryota, Fungi, Basidiomycota, Agaricomycetes, Agaricales, Mycenaceae.
GACUCGGUGGCGGACGGUCCGCUCCACACGAUCUAAUCUGUUGCAGCGCCGUUCUGUGGAAGUCGCCUGUUCAAUCCGGGCCCGAGUCA